Molecule: transfer RNA, 64 nt
Filed under: Epeorus herklotsi
Lineage: Eukaryota; Metazoa; Arthropoda; Insecta; Ephemeroptera; Heptageniidae
Description: tRNA-His
Source: RNAcentral
ACUUGAAUAGUUUAAUCAAAAUAUUGAUUUGUGGUGUCAAUGAUGUAAUAAGUUACUUCGAGUA